Molecule: long non-coding RNA, 505 nt
Filed under: Homo sapiens (human)
Lineage: Eukaryota; Metazoa; Chordata; Mammalia; Primates; Hominidae
Description: non-protein coding TMEM246-AS1:5
Source: RNAcentral
CUGUGGUUCCCUAUGGAAACACUGACAAGAACAGGUGGAAGAAAUAUGUGGUCUUCGGUUAAAAACUCUUCAGGGUUCAAAGAAGGGCACUCUCACAUCAUGUGAUGGGUGAGCUCUAGUCAUUCUGUGAGAGGAACUCCAGGAGACCAGAUCCAACUCGCAAUCAGCUAUAGUGAAGUUAUGAUAUGAGAAGCACCAACUUGGCACAAGACUUGGGAAAGGCAAUGAGGCAGCAGGCAAGCUUUAAGGGAUGACACUUACCUUGAGGGAGCAAGGACAAGUUGUGACCUUCCCAGUCCUCUCUCCAUUUGCAGAUCAGCAAGCUUCUGUCAGCAAGGAGGGGUGGACAAUGAAACUGGGUUCAGCUUGAUUUGUUUUUUGAGACAGGUAUGGCAAGGGGCUGCCAACAAGAUCAAGCUGCAGAGGAAACAGCCACCUGGGGCGUGUUCUUACGUUGCCUGGAAGCUGCACAAGAGGCCAAGUCAAAACAUGCAGGUACAUUUAC